CUGUGAGAGAGCGCGAGAAAACCCUUCUCGGGAUAACACUUAUUUUUGGCCUUCAUGUGACACCACUUUGGUUUCUAUGGAACUCCUAUGAAAUACUCACACACACAGAACAAUGUUUAUUUAGACAUUACAUGCACUUCACUUAACCAUAAACACUGACCUAAACAUCAAUUUUGCGCCACGUACAUUAACAGGGUAUUGCAAAAGACUCAUAUUUCAUAUUUGCCCCAAAAAAAGAAAAAAAAAUCACAUACGUGUCAAAAUAUCCUGUUCCUUCUCCUUACUAUUUAUUUGCCCUUUUCUCUGUAUCUUUCUUUUCGUAUCCCCUCUCCUCUCCUCCACUUCCUUCCUCGCCUCUUGCACCUGCGGAUGCUAUUAGCAAACAAAUAUAAAGUUAAUCCAGUGGCCUAAUCUCUUGCGUUCCACGCCCAGUCCUAUUUUCUACCGGUGUUUGAGGCCAGGAUUAAACAAUCUUUUUUUACUUUCUCUAUCGCAGCAUUUUUCAGGAGAACAUACCUACGGCUAAGUGCUGUUCACACCAUUCCAUAAAGCGUGUGUGUGUGUGUGUGUGUGUGUGUGUGUGUGUGUGUGUUACUACGAAGGCCUCCAGGGGCUCCAAGGCACUGUGAGGAUGCAGACACCAGGAACAGUGGUGCAGGAUGCUGCUUGUGCCGUAAUGGAGAGUUAUACAGUCAUUUUUGGGGAUUUUAGAGGCAAGAGUGUGAAGCUGUUGGGGCGGAAUUGGUUCGGGAUGCAAAAAGGUUAAGGGAAUUUCCUCAAUGGCAAGAAAAGGGUCGGUUUAUUGCCUCAAAUUGCUCAUGCAGGUUGGAAAUGAGUGAUUUCACAAUGUUGUGCAGGAAGUUCCUAGUGGCAGGCGGCCAAAUGCUGCUUUAAACCCCCUUCUCUGCAAUCUGAAGAUGGGUUUGCGCACAAGCCUGUGCACACCUGCCGGUGCCUAAACGCCCACACCCCCCCCCCCCCACACACACACACACACACCCACAUCGGCCGUAUUCACCGCUCCCUGGACGAGUUCACUGAUGGGGACGGAAGGAAAAUGUCAUUUUUAGCCUGAUGCCCUUUUAUGAAACCCGUAAAUCUCUGCAGCGCCGCCAGCAGGCCCAGAGGGGGUCGUUACACGGCAGAAAAUCAUAACUCUCACAUAUAACAUGCACUGUUUUGGGAUUACGUUUGUGAUCAGCCCACGGUGCCACACAGUGCAGUAGCCCCCGACUGACUAUGAGCAGCACUUUCUGGAUGUGCAAAAAGCAAAAGCUCCCCCCUUGUGAACAACAGUUUGUAAUGCUUCAUGAUUCAAAGGGAUGUGAAGUCACUUUAUUUACACAGCCCAAGAUCCCAAAUCAUAAACGUGCUUCAAGCGGUGUUACAAUCUGUGCAGCACACACUGUGCUCACACACUGAAUGCUGAGCAGGCCUCCAGUACGGAUAUUUGCAUGUCAGGUAAAAUGGGUCUGGGAACUAUUUCUCAAGCUGUCUCCAAUGAGACACACACACACACACACACACACACACAACACAGACUUUCAUUUCCAUCUUUCCCUAAAAAGGAAACUGUUCAACCCAGAAUACACUCAAGCAUUACAUUACAUGUCCACACAGCUGCGCUGCGAAUUCAAAAACUUCAAGAAACACACUUCUGCUUCGCAGAUGAACAGAUGCAGGAAGGCACAUAACCGAUGCUGUCUGUGUGUGUGGCAGAAACCCAAAAAACAACAAUAACGUGGAUUGCCAGAGCACCAUUUGAAGUUGAAAAGGUUUAAACUGUCCAGUCAGUCAUGGACUGGGUGAGCCUAACCAAGUUAGGUCACAGUACCAGGGCAUCAUGUAGAACCAAAUCAUGGGAGAUCCAUUUAAUAAAGAGAGGCAUUGACAUUAGCGCGUGAUACCCUGAAACCAAGAACCAAGGUGUGAGCCCUUCAAAUUUACACUAAAGCAGAAGGUCUUCGCAGUCCGUCAUGUUGGUACGUUGGACAAAGGCCAGCAUGGUUCACACAGCCAGCGGAAGAGUUCCAAACCGGUCCACGGUAUGGACGACCUCGGUUUUGCACUCAGCAGGAGUCAGAGAAGUGAGCCAAAGGGGUUGGUCGCAUUCUGCAACAACAUCACCAGACCGCACACCGGCCCUUUAAGAACACACUGAGUGCUCUUCAGGUCUUCAGAAGCAUGGCUGUCAGACUCCGGCCAAGGGUAUAGGGGGGUCCAGUGCGGCCCGCCGGAUGACUUUUGUGAGAAUUACAGAAAGACAUACAUUGCAUUCCUAUAGAAGUAGUUGCUAUUCCUAUCAGUCCACUGGGGGUUGUACUGAGUGAGUGAGCACAUGCAUUAGACCAGGGGGACCGGGUCGAUCACCAAGGCAGUGCCUGUAGAUUGCCUGCCAUUGGAAAAAAAAAUCCUUGCUUACUACAAGACUAAUACAGAGCCCCCCACGUCGCCCAGACCACAAACCGCCCCAUGCCCCAUCGACCGAAACAUCCGCAUAUGCAUCUGCAUAUGGUUUGUGUUAUGGGCAGUGGUACCCUGCCGGUUGUACGUUGGUCAUAGUGAGGGGGUAGAUUAAAGCCAAGUGACUAAAGGACGGUUUUGCUUUUACGUCAAACAGGGAAUAUGGGAAUACAAACGUAGUGACGGUGAAAGUUUCAAACCAAAUCACUUUUAAUAACCAAGGAUCUACCUGGAAAGGGAGCCGGCUCAAGGUCAAGAGACAUCCAAACGCUAUGGACUAGGUACAUCAUGGGCUAGGUACAUCAUGGGCUAGGUACAUCAUGGGCUAGGUACAUCAUGGACUAGGUACAUCAUGGGAUAGGUACAUCAUGGGCUAGGUACAUCAUGGGAUAGGUACAUCAUGGACUAGGUACAUCAUGGGCUAGGUACAUCAUGGGCUAGGUACAUCAUGGGCUAGGUACAUCAUGGGCUAGGUACAUCAUGGGCUAGGUACAUCAAGAAUACCAAAAGUCAAGGGACACAGCAGACAACCACAGUGGGGGAGAAAACACACCAGGGCGGGAAGUGAAGUUAACUCAGGGAAACAAGCGCCAGCAAAAUACAAAUUAAAGCGAGGACAAGCCAAGCACCGUAAUAUUGGCCAUGUUAGCGGUGAUAUGAUAAUGCACCAUGCUGCUAUCCGGACCCUUCAGUGUAAAUAAAGCCUCUGCUGUACACAUUAUAUUCCCCCUGGGUUAUUUCCUUUUUGUAAAGCUCCCGUGUUUGUUUUAAAUGUAGUUUUAUGUAAUUCCUCAGGUUCCAUUUUUUUGGUCUUUGUUUUAAUAAACCAUUAUUAUUAUAUUUUAUAUUUCUAUUUCUGCCUCUCUACACUGGUUCUUCCACAUGCCUUCUGCCACAUGACAAAGGUCAAAGUAAAUGAAACAAUCAGUGGGGAAAAACAAAAUCUAGUGCAAAAUAUUUUGUUAUCUUUUACCUUUAAUGAUCAUGUGACCUGGUACUGUCCUCAAUGGUGGUUGUGCACUCAUCUCAUCUCAUCUUUCCUUUCUGGUGGUUUGACGACGGUUAAUCCAGUCACAGGAGCUCGUAGCUGCAGCUCCUCUGGUAUAUACCACAGAAGACAUCCCUCAUAACCAUCUGCUUUCUCAGUCCAUUUGCGGUAGCUGCCACCAUAACCACACUAAUGGACAGGAUUAUGUUCCUCACAGGUCAUAGGGAAAGCCACAUAAUCUCUGGCCUACAAAUAGAAAACGUAUUUUAGCAGUAACUCUUUAUAUCUAAUGGAUCUCUGAAUGCCACAUCAAGUGGCAUUCGUUUCCACAAUAAACUAGAUGACAGAUAAACUAUUAUUUUUUAGAUUAUCAAUCCAUAAUUUAGAAAGGGUGGACAAUAAUAACAAAAACAUGAUAUAUUUGAUCUUAAUAACACAACAUGUCUGUAAUGUAGUGUUAACACUGUUACCUCCUCACUUACCACAUGCACCUUUAAACUUGAAGCAGCUGGAUAAAGGGUUUUACCAUCACAUUUAGUGGGAUCUUUUAAAGAGAACAUGCUUGGCUUUCAUCGGUGAACACAAAUCAGUUAACACUAGAACAACGGUCCUCUGCACUAUCACAUUUUGUUCAGCAUUGUGGCAACUAAGAAUCAUAAUCCCAAA
This is a long non-coding RNA of Gasterosteus aculeatus aculeatus (three-spined stickleback), 4117 nucleotides long. NCBI's taxonomy places the organism in Eukaryota, Metazoa, Chordata, Actinopteri, Perciformes, Gasterosteidae. The record is from Ensembl.